Aegilops tauschii subsp. strangulata is the source of this 847-nucleotide long non-coding RNA. RefSeq lists it as uncharacterized. NCBI's taxonomy places the organism in Eukaryota, Viridiplantae, Streptophyta, Magnoliopsida, Poales, Poaceae. The record is from RefSeq and is a predicted model, not a curated record.
CCGCUAACUAGGGGACCCGCCCGCGGCCCUGCUCGUCUCCUUCCCCGAGUCGGACUGCAGCGCGCCGCACGCACAGCCGAGGCCGAGCCGGAUCGCCACGAGCACCCAACCGACCCCGUGCAUCCCUAGGGCUCCUUGGACGCGUAAGGAUUCGCCCGGCACGACCGCAACCCCUUUCUGUCCCUUCCAUCGUCUGCACGCCCCUGUUGGGCGAAUUGGAUCUCGCCGGGGAAUUCAGCCGCCGCCGCCUUUGUUGCUUGCGCUCAUCGCCAGCACGGGAACAAGCCUCCCGAGCAGACCCGACGCUGCCGGAGCACCACGUUCACGAGCCCGUCGUCGCCUACAGAGGGAGCCACGCCGCCGUUUAACACCACCUCCGUCACCGCCGAGACCUGCCGCCCCUGUACCUCACCUCACCUUUGCCGGAGGCCCGCUGGAGAAGCGCCACCAUCGACGCCCGAGACCGCCGCCGUGUCCUCUGUUGCUGAUUGUUCGGAGUGCGACACGAACUAUUGUCAGGAGUGUGACUUUUUGAACCAGAACCAAGGCAAGGAUAUUCAGAUGAAGAGUAAGGUACUAUUAGGGUCGCGAGUCUGCACUCAGCAUCGCCAGUGGGCUAUAAUGGGACUCAUCAUUAUUUUCUGCUACUUUUCGCUAUUUGAUUGAAUAAAGCUAGCCAUGUGCUAUGCCGAUUGUUUUAUUUUAUACAUUCUGGAUCAUACGUUGUAAUAAAUGAUGCACUUGCUAUUCUGGUAUUCAUCUGUACUGUGUGUGCUAGCGUGUUCGAUCCAGGGACUAGCACGGUAAGCACAGAGACUCAAAUCCUUCGAGGUUUGGUCGUUACAGA